The sequence is a signal recognition particle RNA, 98 nucleotides long. It matches the Rfam family "Bacterial small signal recognition particle RNA". From Rfam's summary of the family: The signal recognition particle (SRP) is a universally conserved ribonucleoprotein involved in the co-translational targeting of proteins to membranes. Archaeal SRP consists of a 7S RNA and homologues of the eukaryotic SRP19 and SRP54 proteins.
GGGUGAAGCCUGUGCGAUGAGACCCUGUGAACCAUGUCAGACGGGGAACCGAGCAGCAUUAAGCAGAUGUCUCAUGUGCCGCAGCCACUUUGCCCAUC